RNAcentral lists this ribosomal RNA (484 nucleotides) under uncultured bacterium. RNAcentral's name for it is "partial 16S ribosomal RNA". It matches the Rfam family "Bacterial small subunit ribosomal RNA", at positions 30 to 507 of the family's 1533-position model. The record is from RNAcentral.
AUUGAACGCUGGCGGCAGGCCUAACACAUGCAAGUCGAGCGGAUGAAGGGAGCUUGCUCCUGGAUUCAGCGGCGGACGGGUGAGUAAUGCCUAGGAAUCUGCCUGGUCGUGGGGGAUAACGUCCGGAAACGGGCGCUAAUACCGCAUACGUCCUGAGGGAGAAAGUGGGGGAUCUUCGGACCACACGCUAUCAGAUGAGCCUAGGUCGGAUUAGCUAGUUGGUGGGGUAAAGGCCCACCAAGGCGACGAUCCGUAACUGGUCUGAGAGGAUGAUCAGUCACACUGGAACUGAGACACGGUCCAGACUCCUACGGGAGGCAGCAGUGGGGAAUAUUGGACAAUGGGCGAAAGCCUGAUCCAGCCAUGCCGCGUGUGUGAAGAAGGUCUUCGGAUUGUAAAGCACUUUAAGUUGGGAGGAAGGGCAGUAAGUUAAUACCUUGCUGUUUUGACGGUACCAACAGAAUAAGCACCGGCUAACUUCGUG